ACGGGAGGCAGCAGUGGGGAAUAUUGCACAAUGGGCGCAAGCCUGAUGCAGCGGUGCCGCGUGAGGGAAGAAGGUUUUCGGAUUGUAAACCUCUGUCAACAGGGACGAAAAUGACGGUACCUGUGAAGGAAGCUCCGGCUAACUACGUGCCAGCAGCCGCGGUAAUACGUAGGGAGCAAGCGUUAUCCGGAAUUACUGGGUGUAAAGGGAGUGUAGGCGGGACUGUAAGUCAGAUGUGAAAUAUGCCGGCUCAACUGGCAGACUGCAUUCGAAACUGCGGUUCUUGAGUGCAGUAGAGGUAAGCGGAAUUCCUAGUGUAGCGGUGAAAUGCGUAGAUAUUAGGAGGAACAUCAGUGGCGAAGGCGGCUUACUGGGCUUUAACUGACGCUGAGGCUCGAAAGCGUGGGGAGCAAACAGGAUUAGAUACCCUGGUA
RNAcentral lists this ribosomal RNA (434 nucleotides) under uncultured Ruminococcus sp. RNAcentral's name for it is "bacterial SSU rRNA". It matches the Rfam family "Bacterial small subunit ribosomal RNA", at positions 341 to 792 of the family's 1533-position model. The record is from RNAcentral. Lineage: Bacteria; Bacillati; Bacillota; Clostridia; Eubacteriales; Oscillospiraceae.